CGCAACUCAUUUUGCUGUGGUUGCGGCUCUCAGAGCACGCCGGCAGAGAACCAGAGGUAGGAGUAUCCACCGAACUGCCAUGACCUCCCUUAGGCUGCUGUUAGGGUUUGUGUUUGUUAGUGCUAAUAUAGAAGCAUUCUUGGUGGUUAGGCUAAGAGCUAUGCUAACAUCAUUCAUGAUGUCACAGCACCACCCGAACCAGAGCCGUUGUGAUGGAGCUGUGACCGCGGCCGCUGGAGCACACUGGUGGAGCAGACUGGAGAAGCAGACCGGAGGAGCAGACCGAAGGAGCAGACCGGAGUAGCAGACCAGAGUAGCAGACCGGACGAGCAGUCCGGACGAGCAUACUGGACGAGCCGAGAUGCUGAGCCCGGCGGUGCUGCGGGGGUCCCUGCUUCUCAUUAUCUUCUGCUCCCACCCUGGAGCCCCCUCCAUUACCACAAGUACCGCCACCUGUCUGUCUGCCUGUCUGUCUGCCUGUCUACCUGCCCGUCUGUUUGCCUAUCUUUCUGCCUGCCUGUCUAUCUAUUUGUAUGUCUGUUUUCUACCUAUCUGCCUCCUUGUAUUGCUGUCUGUCCGUCUGCUUCUUUACCUGUCUCUCUACCUGUCUGUCUGUCUGUCUGUCAGCCUCUCCAUCUUUCUAUUUGUCUCUCUGCAGUUCUGUCUGUCUAUUUACUCACCUGACUGCUUCUAUCACUGCCUGUCUGUCUGUUUGUCUACCUUUCUGUCUCUCAGGGUUUCCGACCAUCAGAGACAAGACGUGGAGAGGUCAAAGAUCAUGCCCGCUGGUCCUGGCCCCUCCCCCUCCCUUCUUCCCUCCAUUCUCACGCAAAGAAGAGCUAAUGUCCCCAGGGGCGGGGCCCAGCACCAAGACAAACUCCACGGGUGGGGGAUAACCUGCACUGUGAUGAGAUGUCAGAGGUCAUCUGAAGGUGGUCUUGUUUCCAGGUUGACAUAACGGAUCAGAUAACGGGACUCAACGGAGACAAGGUAGCUAUCAGCUCAUCAAGAUCUAGUGUUGGCACGGCUGAUCAUACAUCAAUAAUCAAUAUCUUUACAGGGCUGCAGGGGGACCAGAGGACAACAGGUACACACACACACACACACACACACACACACACACACACACACACACACACACACACACACACACACACACAUACCAGACAAAUCAAGCGCGUGUGUUUUCUGUUCGUCAGGGUAAGCCCGGACCCUCAGGGUCUCCUGGAGAGACAGGGUCACCUGGAUCGAUGGGACCCCCCAUGAAGGUAACAUUCAACCAACCAUAUAUAAGCAUUAUUAAUUACAUGCUUCAUGACCUUUCCAAAGGUAUGCAGUGUUCACAUGUUAAGGGUCUCAGGAUGUAAUGCAGUGUUCACAUGUUAAGGGUCUCAGGAUGUAAUGCAGUGUUCACAUGUUAAGGGGCUCAUGAUGUAAUGCAGUGUUCACAUGUUAAGGGGCUCAUGAUGUUAUGCAAUGUUCACAUGUUAAGGGGCUCAUGAUGCAAUGCAGUGUUCACAUGCUAAGGAGCUCAAGAUGUAAUGCAGUGUUCACAUGCUAAGG
This 1563-nucleotide long non-coding RNA is filed under the name Gadus morhua (Atlantic cod). RNAcentral describes it as "lncRNA (ENSGMOG00000022472.1)". Lineage: Eukaryota; Metazoa; Chordata; Actinopteri; Gadiformes; Gadidae. The record is from RNAcentral.